CAGCCGCCACGGGAAUACGUAGGUGGCAGGCGUUGUCCGGAAUUAUUGGGCGUAAAGGGCUCGCAGGCGGUUUCUUAAGUCUGAUGUGAAAGCCCCCGGCUCAACCGGGGAGGGUCAUUGGAAGCUGGGAAACUUGAGUGCAGAAGAGGAGAGUGGAAUUCCACGUGUAGCGGUGAAAUGCGUAGAGAUGUGGAGGAACACCAGUGGCGAAGGCGACUCUCUGGUCUGUAACUGACGCUGAGGAGCGAAAGCGUGGGGAGCGAACAGGAUUAGAUACCCCCGUAGUCCCUGUCUCUUAUAC
This 301-nucleotide ribosomal RNA is filed under the name uncultured bacterium. RNAcentral's name for it is "partial 16S ribosomal RNA". It matches the Rfam family "Bacterial small subunit ribosomal RNA", at positions 509 to 807 of the family's 1533-position model. The record is from RNAcentral.